This 334-nucleotide unclassified non-coding RNA is filed under the name soil metagenome. Its description in RNAcentral is "partial contains 5.8S ribosomal RNA, internal transcribed spacer 2, and large subunit ribosomal RNA". The stretch from base 1 to 120 matches the Rfam family "5.8S ribosomal RNA", at positions 35 to 154 of the family's 154-position model. The record is from RNAcentral.
GAUGAAGAACGCAGCGAAAUGCGAUAAGUAAUGUGAAUUGCAGAAUUCAGUGAAUCAUCGAAUCUUUGAACGCACAUUGCGCCCGCCAGUAUUCUGGCGGGCAUGCCUGUUCGAGCGUCAUUUCAACCAUCAAGCCCACGGCUUGUGUUGGGGACCUGCGGCUGCCGCAGGCCCUGAAAUGCAGUGGCGGGCUCGCUGUCACUCCGAGCGUAGUAGUUACAUCUCGCUCUGGGCGUGCUGCGGGUUCCGGCCGUUAAAAGCCUUAUUUACCCAAGGUUGACCUCGGAUCAGGUAGGAAGACCCGCUGAACUUAAGCAUAUCAAUAAGCGGAGGA